CAGAAUCUCUUUUGGAGCCUGGGCCUGAGAUGGAGUAGGUAACCCGGGCAGUAACUGCCUGAACCGCUCCUGCUGGCUGCAAAGCCUUUUCAACUUCAGCAUCCCAGGAUGACAGAGAUGCACGUAGAUUCCAGGAUGACAGAGAUACUGAGAGAUGGAGACACUCAGAGAGCCCAAGCCAGAGUUCCAAGACACCCAAAACUCUGGAUCACAGACAUAGAGCCAGAGAACCUGGGAACAAAUCGAAAGUGCAACCAACAGAGAUCAUAAAAGAGACCGGGUGUCCGGUGGGCCAGCCCGCCUACAUGUGUGGUGAAGGCGGGUGUUCUCAUGUCCCCCACCCCCGUGUGCAAAUGUAUGUGCAUGGAACCAGGUACCCUCAAUCUAAGGGCAGCCUGCCAGAUUCCAACUAAAUCUACUCAGUUAUUAUCAUUUAGAACAUCAAGAUGGGUCUUCCGGGAGGCAGAAGCCCCUCCUUCAUGAUGUCUGCGGACUUCAAGCUAAGCUCUUCCUUCAGUACCACAUCAUGUCUCAAGA
Mustela erminea (ermine) is the source of this 537-nucleotide long non-coding RNA. RefSeq lists it as uncharacterized. The record is from RefSeq and is a predicted model, not a curated record. The transcript is spliced from 3 exons. NCBI's taxonomy places the organism in Eukaryota, Metazoa, Chordata, Mammalia, Carnivora, Mustelidae.